CCUACGUGAGGCAGCAGUGGGGAAUAUUGCACAAUGGGGGAAACCCUGAUGCAGCGACGCCGCGUGAGUGAAGAAGUAUUUCGGUAUGUAAAGCUCUAUCAGCAGGGAAGAAAUAGCGACCUCUGGGUCGCCAGCCGGUACCCGAUUAAGAAGCCCCGGCUAACUACGUGCUAGCAGCCGCGGUAAUACGUAGGGGGCAAGCGUUAUCCGGAUUUAAUGGGUGUAAAGGGAGCGUCGACGGCAGCGCAAGUCUGAAGUGAAAUGCCGGGGCUUAACCCCGGAACUGCUUUGGAAACUGUGCAGCGAGAGUGCAGGAGAGGUAAGUGGAAUUCCUGGUGUAGCGGUGAAAGGCGUAGAUAUUAGGAGGAACACCAGUGGCGAAGGCGGCUUACUGGACUGUAACUGACGUUGAGGCUCGAAAGCGUGGGGAGCAAACAGGAUUAGAUACCCCUGUAGUC
RNAcentral lists this ribosomal RNA (458 nucleotides) under uncultured bacterium. RNAcentral's name for it is "partial 16S ribosomal RNA". It matches the Rfam family "Bacterial small subunit ribosomal RNA", at positions 338 to 795 of the family's 1533-position model. The record is from RNAcentral.